Molecule: ribosomal RNA, 501 nt
Filed under: uncultured bacterium
Lineage: Bacteria
Description: partial 16S ribosomal RNA
Rfam family: Bacterial small subunit ribosomal RNA
Source: RNAcentral
AUUGAACGCUGGCGGCAUGCUUUACACAUGCAAGUCGAACGGUAACAGGGUGCUUGCACCGCUGACGAGUGGCGAACGGGUGAGUAAUGCGUCAGAACGUGCCGAGUAGUGGGGGGAUAACGCAGCGAAAGUUGUGCUAAUACCGCAUACGUACUGAGGUAGAAAGUGGGGGACCUUCGGGCCUCACGCUAUUCGAGCGGCCGACGUCUGAUUAGCUAGUAGGUGAGGUAAAGGCUCACCUAGGCGACGAUCAGUAGCGGGUCUGAGAGGAUGAUCCGCCACACUGGGACUGAGACACGGCCCAGACUCCUACGGGAGGCAGCAGUGGGGAAUUUUGGACAAUGGGCGAAAGCCUGAUCCAGCCAUGCCGCGUGUCUGAAGAAGGCCUUCGGGUUGUAAAGGACUUUUGUCAGGGAGGAAAUCCCUAGUGCUAAUAACACUGGGGGAUGACAGUACCUGAAGAAUAAGCACCGGCUAACUACGUGCCAGCAGCCGCCGUAA